CGGAGGGUGCAGGCGUUGCUCGGAAUUAUUGGGCGUAAAGGGCAGGUAGGUGGUCUGAUUUGUCAGGGGUGAAAGCCUUGGGCUUAACUCAAGAAGUGCCCCUGAAACGGUCAGACUAGAGUACUGGAGAGGGUCGUGGAAUUCCCGGUGUAGCGGUGAAAUGCGUAGAGAUCGGGAGGAACACCAGAGGCGAAGGCGGCGACCUGGACAGUGACUGACACUCAACUGCGAAAGCGUGGGGAGCAAACAGGAUUAGAUACCCUGGUAGUCCACGCCGUAAACGAUGGAUACUAGGCUUGGCGGGUCUUGACCCCUGCCGAGCCGCAGCUAACGCAAUAAGUAUCCCGCCUGGGAAGUACGGUCGCAAGACUA
Molecule: ribosomal RNA, 372 nt
Filed under: uncultured organism
Description: bacterial SSU rRNA
Rfam family: Bacterial small subunit ribosomal RNA
Source: RNAcentral